GGAAACAGGGUUUUAUUGUGGUGCUGGCUGGCCAGGGCCUGGUUUUCUUGGUCCCAGGUCCACAUCAUACCUGAUAGAAGGAUAAUGUGGGAAGAGGGGCAGAUAUGCUGUGAGUGCCAGUGCUGGUUCCCACAGCUGCUGGAACAAGUUGCCACAAACUUAGUGGCUUUAAACAACAGACAUUUAUUUUUUCAUAGGUUGAGAGGCCAGAAGUCUGAAAUCAAGGCAUUAGUAGGGCCACAUUGUCUCUGAAAUCUCUAGGGAAGAAUCUUUCCUUGCCUAUUCGAGUUCCUGGUGGUGGCUGGUGUUCCUUGGCGUGCAGCAGCACAAUUCCAAUCGUUGCCUCUGCUCCCCAUGGCCUUCUCCUCUUCUCUCUCUUAUAGGAAUAUUUGCCAUUGGACUUAGGACUCGCUUCUGUAAUACUGGAUGAUCCCAUGUCAGGAUCCUUAAACUAAUUACAUCUGCAAAGAGCUUUUUCCCAAAUAUGGUCAUAUUCACAGGUUGGAGUGCGAGAGAGACAUAUCUUUUUGGAACCACCAUUCAACCCACUAGUGUGUCUAAGCACUCCGAGAGUUCUGUCAUGUACUCGUAAUACACCUGAGAGGAGGGUAUUAUUCCCAUGUUUCAGAAGAUAAAACUGAGGCUCAGAGAGGUGAGAUAACUUGUACCAGUUCAUAUCAUCAGUGAGUGGCUGGACUAGGAUGGAAACUGAGGGCUUCACCACCCAGGCAAGAGGGCAGGGGCCAGCCUGUGGAAAGAUAUGGAAGAAUGCAAGCUCGGCCCACGGAAGAGCUGUGAGCAGCUUCAUCCUGCUGCAGUGGUGAGUGUGUGAGGGUGGGAAUGAUGGGAGAGGAGGCUGAAGGAGAGCAGGGCAGGUCUUUUAAGACCUUUGACCCAGGCUAAGGAGUUUGGGCUUGACCUGGGGAUACAGAGGAUCCUUGGAGACUUCGGAGCUCUCAGAGAUGAAGAGCAGACCUCUGGGUUGCAUGGAAGAUGGAUUGCAGAGAGGUAAACCUAGAGAGAAGGGCCUGUCAGGAGGAUGGGAAGAACAGCACCAGUGCAGAUGGAAAGGGAAGGAAGAGUCUGAAGUUAAGGGGAGGUCCAAGUGACAGGAUUAAAUGACCAAUGAAUUCAGAUAAAUUUAGGAAUCUAGGAAGUUCCCAGGUUCAACUCCUGAGUGUAUUGUGGUGCCUCUCACAACGCUGGAAGGAUGUGGCAGUGGGCAGCCAUGGUUUGUAGCUGCCCAAGAUCCUUGGACACUUUCCUUGUACUCAGGUCUGAGUCAGUUAUCUCCCAGUGCGCUUGCAGAGGUGCAGGUGUGCGCACUGGGCUGUGUGAUCGGACAGCCCACAUGAGCCUUUCACAGGAAAGAAGCAACUCGUAGAAAGGGCUCUGCAGGGGCCUGGACGUCAGCAGAUGAUGGCAGAGGAAGCUGAACGGAGAGCUGGGCCAGGUCUCAUCAGCAGAGGAGCUGCCUUUGGGAGACGCCUUCCUUGUUAGGCAAUUCUGUGGUUGGUUCUGGACAUUGUUCUUGGACACUCAGCUGCAUCCUGCUU
RNAcentral lists this long non-coding RNA (1556 nucleotides) under Homo sapiens (human). RNAcentral's name for it is "long non-coding RNA NONHSAT149582.1". The record is from RNAcentral. Lineage: Eukaryota; Metazoa; Chordata; Mammalia; Primates; Hominidae.